AACGAACGCUAGCGGCGCGCUUAACACAUGCAAGUCGCACGAGAAAGGGCUUCGGCCCCGGUAAAGUGGCGCACGGGUGAGUAACACGUGGAUAAUCUUCCCUCGGGCGGGGGAGUAACAUUCCGAAGGAAGUGCUAAUACCGCAUAAGACCACGAUUCCGAAAGGAAGUUGAGGUAAAAGACCGGCCUCUAUAUAUAAGCUGGCACCUGAGUUCGAUGAGUCCGCGUCCCAUCAGCUA
RNAcentral lists this ribosomal RNA (239 nucleotides) under uncultured bacterium. RNAcentral describes it as "partial 16S ribosomal RNA". It matches the Rfam family "Bacterial small subunit ribosomal RNA", at positions 29 to 247 of the family's 1533-position model. The record is from RNAcentral.